GCCAGCGUAGCUCAGUGGUAGAGCAGUGGUUUCGUAAACCACAGGUCAGCGGUUCAAAUCCGCUCGCUGGCU
RNAcentral lists this transfer RNA (72 nucleotides) under Planctomycetota bacterium. Its description in RNAcentral is "Planctomycetes bacterium tRNA-Thr". It matches the Rfam family "tRNA". Rfam says of the family: Transfer RNA (tRNA) molecules are approximately 80 nucleotides in length. Lineage: Bacteria; Pseudomonadati; Planctomycetota. The record is from RNAcentral.